UGAGGAAUAUUGGUCAAUGGGCGAGAGCCUGAACCAGCCAAGUAGCGUGCAGGAUGACGGCCCUAUGGGUUGUAAACUGCUUUUAUGUGGGGAUAAAGUGCGUGACGUGUCAUGCAUUGCAGGUACCACAUGAAUAAGGACCGGCUAAUUCCGUGCCAGCAGCCGCGGUAAUACGGAAGGUCCGAGCGUUGUCCGGAAUCAUUGGGCGUAAAGGGUACGUAGGCGGAUAAGCAAGUUAGAAGUGAAAUCCUAUAGCUCAACUAUAGUAAGCUUUUAAAACUGCUCAUCUUGAGGUAUGGAAGGGAAAGUGGAAUUCCUAGUGUAGCGGUGAAAUGCGCAGAUAUUAGGAGGAAUACCGGUGGCGAAGGCGACUUUCUGGCCAUAUACUGACGCUGAGGUACGAAAGCGUGGGUAGCAAACAGG
Molecule: ribosomal RNA, 423 nt
Filed under: Verrucomicrobiota bacterium
Lineage: Bacteria; Pseudomonadati; Verrucomicrobiota
Description: Verrucomicrobia bacterium partial 16S ribosomal RNA
Rfam family: Bacterial small subunit ribosomal RNA
Source: RNAcentral